UAGGCUUCUCUUGACUCCAUUGUGCGUAUUAGCCUUUAUGGUUUGUGGGCAGCGUCUAAAUGGGAAGCAUAAACGAUUGUUCCUCUCGCUAUCCGGCGCGGAGUUUUUUGAUGCGAUUGGACGUCGAGGAACGACACUU
Molecule: non-coding RNA, 139 nt
Organism: Zea mays
Lineage: Eukaryota; Viridiplantae; Streptophyta; Magnoliopsida; Poales; Poaceae
Source: Rfam